UCGGGAAUUUUGGGCAAUGGGCGAAAGCCUGACCCAGCAACGCCGCGUGAAGGAUGAAAUCCCUCGGGAUGUAAACUUCGCAAGAUUGGGAAGAAUUAGUAGGGGUUAAUACCCCCUAUGAUGACGGUACCUUUUGUAAGCUCCGGCUAACUCCGUGCCAGCAGCCGCGGUAAUACGGGGGGAGCAAGCGUUGUUCGGAUUUACUGGGCGUAAAGGGCGCGUAGGCGGUCAGCACAAGUCAGUUGUGAAAUCUCCGGGCUUAACUCGGAAAGGUAAACUGAUACUGUGCGACUAGAGUGCAGAAGGGGCAACUGGAAUUCUCGGUGUAGCGGUGAAAUGCGUAGAUAUCGAGAGGAACACCUGCGGCGAAGGCGGGUUGCUGGGCUGACACUGACGCUGAGGCGCGAAAGCCAGGGGAGCAAACGG
RNAcentral lists this ribosomal RNA (426 nucleotides) under uncultured bacterium. Its description in RNAcentral is "bacterial SSU rRNA". It matches the Rfam family "Bacterial small subunit ribosomal RNA", at positions 355 to 775 of the family's 1533-position model. The record is from RNAcentral.